Molecule: ribosomal RNA, 853 nt
Filed under: Juxtiphoma eupyrena
Lineage: Eukaryota; Fungi; Ascomycota; Dothideomycetes; Pleosporales; Didymellaceae
Description: partial large subunit ribosomal RNA
Rfam family: Eukaryotic large subunit ribosomal RNA
Source: RNAcentral
ACAGGGAUUGCCCUAGUAACGGCGAGUGAAGCGGCAACAGCUCAAAUUUGAAAUCUGGCGUCUUUGGCGUCCGAGUUGUAAUUUGCAGAGGGCGCUUUGGCAUUGGCAGCGGUCCAAGUUCCUUGGAACAGGACGUCACAGAGGGUGAGAAUCCCGUACGUGGUCGCUAGCCUUUACCGUGUAAAGCCCCUUCGACGAGUCGAGUUGUUUGGGAAUGCAGCUCUAAAUGGGAGGUAAAUUUCUUCUAAAGCUAAAUACUGGCCAGAGACCGAUAGCGCACAAGUAGAGUGAUCGAAAGAUGAAAAGCACUUUGGAAAGAGAGUUAAAAAGCACGUGAAAUUGUUGAAAGGGAAGCGCUUGCAGCCAGACUUGCCUGUAGUUGCUCAUCCGGGUUUUUACCCGGUGCACUCUUCUAUAGGCAGGCCAGCAUCAGUUUGGGCGGUUGGAUAAAGGUCUCUGUCAUGUACCUCUCUUCGGGGAGAACUUAUAGGGGAGACGACAUGCAACCAGCCUGGACUGAGGUCCGCGCAUCUGCUAGGAUGCUGGCGUAAUGGCUGUAAGCGGCCCGUCUUGAAACACGGACCAAGGAGUCUAACAUCUAUGCGAGUGUUUGGGUGUCAAGCCCGAGCGCGUAAUGAAAGUGAACGGAGGUGGGAACCCCUCGGGGUGCACCAUCGACCGAUCCUGAUGUCUUCGGAUGGAUUUGAGUAAGAGCAUAGCUGUUGGGACCCGAAAGAUGGUGAACUAUGCUUGAAUAGGGUGAAGCCAGAGGAAACUCUGGUGGAGGCUCGCAGCGGUUCUGACGUGCAAAUCGAUCGUCAAAUUUGGGCAUAGGGGCGAAAGACUAAUCGAA